Molecule: long non-coding RNA, 1005 nt
Organism: Lynx canadensis (Canada lynx)
Lineage: Eukaryota; Metazoa; Chordata; Mammalia; Carnivora; Felidae
Exons: 3
Source: RefSeq, a predicted model, not a curated record
UUUGGAUGUGUCUGGAGUCUUGGAAGCUUGACUACCCUACGUUCUCCUGCAAAUGGACCUUGAGAGCUUGUUUGGAGGUUCUAGCAGGGGAGCAUAGCUACUCGUAUACCCUUGACCGAAGAACCGUCCUCCUCUAUCAGGGAAUGUCGUCCUCUUCGACCAAGCGCGCAGCUUCGGGAGGGACGCACAUGGAGCGGCCAUUUCCAAUAACACAACCUAUUGCACCAUAUUGACUGACAAACCCAGCAUGACGAGAGAAACCUGAGACUCACUCUUGAUUUGCACUGACAUCAGUCAAGAGUCUUAAUUUUGUGUUCAUGACUUGCUUUGGAAUUGCUUUUGAGCCCUGCGCUCAUUUCCAGCUCUUCCUAGAAGCCAGUUAUUUUACAAGAAUGUAAUUGCAGGGUGAAAUGGUUGAUCAAAUAUAAGAGCUAUACAAACUUCUGGGCUCUCAGAGGAAUUGAAAUUCUCAAAAGCGCUAUUCAAGUUACAUUUACUUCUGUCUAAAUUAUAGUUUGGCUGCUUCCAGGCUGCUUCCAAUGAUCACUCUUGAAGUUUUGACUGUAAGAGGUAGUCCUUUCUGCUUUCUGCAGCCCAUCUUUUUUCAUUGGACCAGCUGGAGCUCAUCUUUUUGAGCCAAACAUCUUUUAAUGGUUUAUGACGGGAUCACUGGUCAUUCUUAUAUAUUCUUUUUGAAUCUGAGCACUACCAUGGACUCUGGCAGCCCUUUUUCUCAGGACUGGGCUAGAGAAUGCUCUUUUUCUUACGGGCUGAUGUGCAUAUAGAGGUGAUGUAGGGAGGAUGGGAAAAAUACCAAAGGAUUUGCACUGGGAUACAGGAAUGGCUGUUUUGUUUUUGCCUUUCCUGGUUUCAGCUGGACAGCCAAGACCAGGAUGUUUAUGUCUCAUUGUUGGAAGGACACAUGCAUGUUGAAAGAAAUGUCUGUGUGUGUGUGUGUGUGUGUGUGUGUGUGUGUGUGUUGGGGCGUAGGGUUGGAAAGAGUUU